CAAAAAAAAAAAAAAAAGGAAAACACAGUGUCCAUAGUUUAGCAGUGUAUUUCUUUGCCUCAGAAAAAUAAGGACCUUUUAAAGCCACCUUUUUGUAUCAGCACUGAGAGACUAGCACCCACCUCCUGCCCAUCUGACAACAGGCUACAACGGAAUUCAGAUGCUAAUUUGGAGCCGGACUUCUCAAUGGCCCUUUAUUUCUGCAGCAGCUCCAGGAUCAGAGCUCUGGUGAACCAGCUGGCUGGCACUCUACAUUCUUCCCCGAGACAUGGCUGUACCCAACAUCCUGCUGCUGUGCUGAGUUUCAGAGCAGGCAGGUAUUUUGCCUACACUUAGUAGCAAUUACGUAUUUGCAAAGAAGUCAUAUGAUCUUUCCUCUAACACUGGAAGAAUAUGCCUGCAGCAGAAAGAACUUCAUUCCGGUGUAAGCAUAUUAUGAUUUUCAUUUCCUAAGAGGCCUCUAAAAAGAAAACUUAUGUCAGAAUGCUGUUUGACCACAACAAACAUAUGGUUGAAGAAGUACUGGGCAAACCAGGCUUUAUUUAGAUAAGAAAAAUAAGAACAUUAGAUAGCAAGAAACCAGCAAGUAAAGCCCACUUCAAAGCCAUGAAUCACGUGGAUCUUGGUGCGUAAACAACAGAGAACCCAUUUUCCGUCAUUAUUCAAAUGCUGUAAUGGGGGCUAAAAAGACCAAUCAGACUAAUAAAAUGACACAGAGUAGAUGUA
Molecule: long non-coding RNA, 726 nt
Organism: Melopsittacus undulatus (budgerigar)
Lineage: Eukaryota; Metazoa; Chordata; Aves; Psittaciformes; Psittaculidae
Exons: 2
Source: RefSeq, a predicted model, not a curated record